GUCUAAGUAUAAGCAACUAUACGGUGAAACUGCGAAUGGCUCAUUAAAUCAGUUAUCGUUUAUUUGAUAGUACCUUACUACAUGGAUACCUGUGGUAAUUCUAGAGCUAAUACAUGCUAAAAACCCCGACUUCGGGAGGGGUGUAUUUAUUAGAUAAAAAACCAAUGCCCUUCGGGGCUCCUUGGUGAAUCAUAAUAACUUAACGAAUCGCAUGGCCUUGCGCCGGCGAUGGUUCAUUCAAAUUUCUGCCCUAUCAACUUUCGAUGGUAGGAUAGUGGCCUACCAUGGUGGCAACGGGUAACGGGGAAUUAGGGUUCUAUUCCGGAGAGGGAGCCUGAGAAACGGCUACCACAUCCAAGGAAGGCAGCAGGCGCGCAAAUUACCCAAUCCCGAUACGGGGAGGUAGUGACAAUAAAUACUGAUACAGGGCUCUUUUGGGUCUUGUAAUUGGAAUGAGUACAAUUUAAAUCCCUAACGAGGAACAAUUGGACG
Molecule: ribosomal RNA, 492 nt
Filed under: fungal sp. TRN211
Lineage: Eukaryota; Fungi
Description: SSU rRNA
Rfam family: Eukaryotic small subunit ribosomal RNA
Source: RNAcentral